CCUACGGGUGGCAGCAGUAAGGAAUUUUGCACAAUGGACGAAAGUCUGAUGCAGCAACGCCGCGUGAUCGAUGAAGCUUUUAGGAGUGUAAAGAUCUGUCGUGAGGGAAGAAAAAUUUAGAUGUAAAUAAUGUUUAAACUUGACGGUACCUUACAAGAAAGCACCGGCUAACUUCGUGCCAGCAGCCGCGGUAAUACGAGGGGUGCUAGCGUUGUCCGGAAUAACUGGGCGUAAAGGGUCCGUAGGCGUUUUGCUAAGUUGAUCGUUAAAUCCAUCGGCUUAACCGAUGACAUGCGAUCAAAACUGGCAGAAUAGAAUAUGUGAGAGGAAUGUGGAAUUCCUGGUGUAGCGGUGACAUGCGUAGAUAUCAGGAGGAACACCGAUGGCGAAGGCAGCAUUCUGGCACAAUAUUGACGCUGAGGGACGAAAGCGUGGGGAGC
This 440-nucleotide ribosomal RNA is filed under the name uncultured bacterium. RNAcentral describes it as "bacterial SSU rRNA". It matches the Rfam family "Bacterial small subunit ribosomal RNA", at positions 338 to 769 of the family's 1533-position model. The record is from RNAcentral.